CUCGGAAGGUCGCGCGGACGGACGCCUCGCCAACCCGGUCAGGUCCGGAAGGAAGCAGCCGCAACGAGUUCUCGUUCGGGUCGUGUCGGCCUUCCACCUCU
RNAcentral lists this signal recognition particle RNA (101 nucleotides) under Parvularcula dongshanensis. Its description in RNAcentral is "Bacterial small signal recognition particle RNA". It matches the Rfam family "Bacterial small signal recognition particle RNA". From Rfam's summary of the family: The signal recognition particle (SRP) is a universally conserved ribonucleoprotein involved in the co-translational targeting of proteins to membranes. Archaeal SRP consists of a 7S RNA and homologues of the eukaryotic SRP19 and SRP54 proteins. Lineage: Bacteria; Pseudomonadati; Pseudomonadota; Alphaproteobacteria; Parvularculales; Parvularculaceae. The record is from Rfam by way of RNAcentral.